RNAcentral lists this unclassified non-coding RNA (422 nucleotides) under Hevea brasiliensis (rubber tree). The record is from RNAcentral. Lineage: Eukaryota; Viridiplantae; Streptophyta; Magnoliopsida; Malpighiales; Euphorbiaceae.
GAAAGGAGGAGCUCGAGAUCGUGCCUGAGAAACCAUGAACGCCCCUCCUCGCUACGAGCGAUUCGUCGUCCCCGAAGGCGUCAAGAAAGUUUCGCAUGAGAGGGACACAAAGAUCGUCAACGCCGCCGCCUUCACCAUCGAGAGGGAAGACCACACAAUCGGAAAUCUUGUCCGCAUGGAGCUGCAUAGAGAUCCCACUGUGCUUUUCGCCGGCUACAAGCUCCCACACCCCCUGCUCUACAAGGUCAUACUUAGGAUCCAGACGACCAGCCAGUCCUCGCCGACACAGGCGUACACUCUGGCCAUUGAGGACCUCGACAAAGAGCUGCUGCAUCUCAAGCGGACCUUUGAGGAUGCAAAAAACAAGUAUGAAGACAAGAUGAGACAGGGUUACUAGGCUGCCUGCAUCUCAGCGAAAUAAA